This 427-nucleotide long non-coding RNA is filed under the name Vulpes vulpes (red fox). RNAcentral's name for it is "lncRNA (ENSVVUG00000010438.1)". The record is from RNAcentral. Lineage: Eukaryota; Metazoa; Chordata; Mammalia; Carnivora; Canidae.
GUAGAUAAUCUUAUUAUUAUUUUUAUUUUACAGGUGAGAAAACUGACACACAGCCAGUGAUUUUAUGACUUACCUGAGGUUAUACGAAUACGCAGAAAGAAACUUCUGGAAGUAUUUGUUCUAAAAGUUGCAAGACUACACUAAAUCAGGAAAAGGUCUUGGCCACAGCUCACUGCUUCAGCGACUACCUCGAGGCCAGCUGGGGACCGACAGUCUCAGACACCGGCCAGUUGCCACAGAUGCAAUUGCUUUGAAAAGCAGGCUCCCGUCACCACUAACCUCAUGCAGAAGAAAUGAAAAUGGGAAACGUGGUGAUAUUUUAUUCAGUUUCCUCUGGCUCGUUCUAGGAAACAGAACCGAGGCAAAGGACGAUUGGAAUGAAAUGAGGUUUUCUUUUUAGCAAAUAAAUAUUCCAUAUGCAGAAGCA